Molecule: ribosomal RNA, 462 nt
Filed under: uncultured bacterium
Lineage: Bacteria
Description: bacterial SSU rRNA
Rfam family: Bacterial small subunit ribosomal RNA
Source: RNAcentral
ACGAACGCUGGCGGCGUGCUUAACACAUGCAAGUCGAACGGAUCACACUUCCUUGUGUUGUGUGGUGAGUGGCGAACGGGUGAGUAACACGUGAGUAACCUGCCCUUCACUCUGGGAUAACUGUGGGAAACUUCAGCUAAUACCGGAUAUUCACAUUUCCUCGCAUGGGGGGGUGUGGAAAGAUUUUUUGGUGGGGGAUGGGCUCGCGGCCUAUCAGCUUGUUGGUGGGGUAGUGGCCUACCAAGGCUUUGACGGGUAGCCGGCCUGAGAGGGCGACCGGCCACACUGGGACUGAGAUACGGCCCAGACUCCUACGGGAGGCAGCAGUGGGGAAUAUUGCACAAUGGGCGGAAGCCUGAUGCAGCAACGCCGCGUGCGGGAUGACGGCCUUCGGGUUGUAAACCGCUUUCACCAGGGGCGAAUUUGGACGGUACCUGGAGAAGAAGCACCGGCUAACUACGU